Mycena metata is the source of this 94-nucleotide non-coding RNA. The record is from the annotation of a GenBank genome assembly. NCBI's taxonomy places the organism in Eukaryota, Fungi, Basidiomycota, Agaricomycetes, Agaricales, Mycenaceae.
GACCUAAUAGCACAAGUGGUAGUGCACCUGCUGUGUAUGUAGUGGUAGGAUAUAGUAUUUGCAGGAGGUCCCUGUUCGAUUCGGGGUUAGGUCG